CGUGUAGAUGGCUUUUUUAAGUCAGCUGUGAAAUCUCCUGGCUCAACCGGGAGAGGUCAGUUGAUACUGAGGAGCUUGAGGGCAGCAGAGGAAGAUGGAAUUCCCGGUGUAGUGGUGAAAUGCGUAGAUAUCGGGAGGAACACCAGUGGCGAAGGCGGUCUUCUGGGCUGUUUCUGACAUUGAGGCGCGAAAGCGUGGGGAGUGAAGCGGAUCAGAUACCCGCGUAAUCCAUGCUAUAAACGGUGGAUACUAGGUAUGGGGGGUAUCGACCCUCUCCGUGCCGCAGCUAACGUUUUAGUAUCCCGCCUGGGACUACGGCCGCAAGGUUAAA
Molecule: ribosomal RNA, 331 nt
Filed under: uncultured bacterium
Lineage: Bacteria
Description: bacterial SSU rRNA
Rfam family: Bacterial small subunit ribosomal RNA
Source: RNAcentral